Molecule: ribosomal RNA, 486 nt
Filed under: uncultured bacterium
Lineage: Bacteria
Description: partial 16S ribosomal RNA
Rfam family: Bacterial small subunit ribosomal RNA
Source: RNAcentral
AUUGAACGCUGGCGGCAGGCCUAACACAUGCAAGUCGAGCGGCAACACUUGUAGCUUUAUCGGGGAUGGAGAGGGGGGGGCGGGUGUAAUACCUUUGAAUAUCUCCCUUAGUGGGGGGGAAAGCUUGGGAAAAGUCGCUUUUAUCCCCCAUGUCCCCUUGGGGAAAACGGGGGCCCUUUAGUCCUUUCGCUAUUAGAUGAGCCUAAGUUGGAUUAGCUAGAUGGUGGGGUAAAGGCUCACCAAGGCGACGAUCCGUAACUGGUUUGAGAGGAUGAUCAGUCACACCGGGAAUGAGACCCGGUCCCGACUCCUACGGGAGGCAGCAGUGGGGAAUAUUGGACAAUGGGGGCAAACCUGAUCCAGCCAUGCCGCGUGUGUGAAGAAGGUCUUUUGGUUGUAAAGCACUUUAAGCCGGGAAGAAGGGCCCUUAGUUAAUACCCUGGGGUGGUGACGUUAGCGGCAGAAUAAGCACCGGCUAACUUUGUG